CAAUCCCUGGUGAACUAAAAAGGGAUAGCCCAUUCCUGACCCACACAAUCUUUAACACGUACCAUACAGAGCAUGAGCUGCUCAGGUAUAUCCAUAGGUUACAGUCGAAGGAUCUAUCUUUGUGCCACAGCAUGAUUCCACUGGGAUCUUGUACAAUGAAACUGAAUGCAACAUCUGAAAUGAUGCCAGUAACAUGGCCUAACUUUACUGACAUUCACCCUUUUGCUCCUACUGAACAGGCUGAGGGUUAUCAGGAAAUGUUCAAUGACCUGGGCGAAUUAUUGUGUACCAUUACUGGAUUUGACUCAUUCUCAUU
Molecule: unclassified non-coding RNA, 316 nt
Filed under: Hevea brasiliensis (rubber tree)
Lineage: Eukaryota; Viridiplantae; Streptophyta; Magnoliopsida; Malpighiales; Euphorbiaceae
Source: RNAcentral